AUGUGGUGGCCACCGGCGUCUGGAAGGAGGCGGCGAGGAUGCAGGGCAUCCAGGGCGCGCCCUUCAAGGGCAUCUGCAUGGCCAACGUCACCGCGCGCCGAGAUGACCAAGGAGAGGAAGGUGUCGUGGAACUGCGCCGACGUCGAGGGCGUCUUGGCCGGCGUCACCCCAGCGCCAUGUGCCCCACUGCAGGGCACCCACGCUGGCUCCUGCCCGUUCCCCACCGACAUGGUCGCCGUCGACCAGAUCACUGUGCAGCAGUGCUCAUACUCCAUCGCGCCUGCCAUAUAUAGUGAGUAUCCAGCUUCUUGUUGCACCAAGUGUUGA
This 327-nucleotide ribosomal RNA is filed under the name Triticum aestivum (bread wheat). RNAcentral's name for it is "partial small subunit ribosomal RNA". Lineage: Eukaryota; Viridiplantae; Streptophyta; Magnoliopsida; Poales; Poaceae. The record is from RNAcentral.